AAAGAAAGAAAUAGGCACACUUAAAAUUCCUAAUAUUUUAGAGAGGGGAUGAAAUGCUGUUCUCUCUUCCAGAGCUUUCCCAGAGCCCGUUUUCAGAGAAGGAAUGGUGCCUCAAGAGGAUGAGAGUAGAAAGAGUUCAGUCCUUCAGCUUGGGAUGGAGCAGAUUAUCCGGAAUGCUGUCCUUUCUUGAACAGAUCCACAUGAAACCUUCCCACUCAGUAAGAAAGUUGUGUAAUGUCCUGCUCAGUGAAGGCAUGCAUUCCUGGAAGAGCAGAGGUCCUGAGAAUGUCAAAAGCUCUUGA
Molecule: long non-coding RNA, 302 nt
Filed under: Corvus moneduloides (New Caledonian crow)
Lineage: Eukaryota; Metazoa; Chordata; Aves; Passeriformes; Corvidae
Description: lncRNA (ENSCMUG00000017411.1)
Source: RNAcentral